AAGUCGAGGGGCAGCAUGAACUUAGCUUGCUAAUAAUUCUCUAGUGGCGCACGGGUGAGUAACACGUAUCCAACCUGCCCUUUACUCGGGGAUAGCCUUGCGAAAGUAAGAUUAAUACCCGAUGGCAUUGGAUUCCCGCAUGGGGCUUCAAUUAAAGGUGUGAACUGGUAAAGGAUGGGGAUGCGUUCCAUUAGGCAGUAGGCGGGGUAACGGCCCACCUAACCGACGAUGGAUAGGGGUUCUGAGAGGAAGGUCCCCACAUUGGAACUGAGACACGGUCCAAACUCC
Molecule: ribosomal RNA, 288 nt
Filed under: uncultured Bacteroidales bacterium
Lineage: Bacteria; Pseudomonadati; Bacteroidota; Bacteroidia; Bacteroidales
Description: partial 16S ribosomal RNA
Rfam family: Bacterial small subunit ribosomal RNA
Source: RNAcentral